UCUGAGUUUAGCCGUCGAGAUUCUUCUUCUCCUCCAUCCUCUUCCUCUUACUCUUCAACAGUCGGAAACUUCAUCUCUGUAACGUAUUCCGUUUCUUUCUUUAGUCUCAUCAUUUACUUCUCCCCACUACUCAUCCCACUCUCUAUGAACUAAACAUCAUCAUUAUCAGCAGCGGUAACUGCUUCAAGCUCUGCACUAUAAAUACCUUCUUUUGCUUCGAUGAAGAGCCACAGUUCACUGAAAUCUCUGACUAAAACCUUUAUCAAGCUUUGAUAUCAGAAAUGGCUUCCUACACGCCGCUUGCUAACUUGAGAACCGGUCGCUGUUCUAACAACGCUGAGGUCCGGCUACUGAGGUUUUGGGAGGCUCAGAAUAUCAGGAAAGGUGGGGAACUGAUGAGUCUCGACAUGCUUCUCUUGGAUGAGCAGUCGACGCUUAUCCAAGGAACCGUCAAUGCGGCUCGACUCGACACGUAUCGAGAACUUUUUGUUGAAGGAUCUGUGUACUCGCUUAGUGGUUUCGACGUUACACGUAGCGACAACAAGUUUCGUCUCUCUGAUGCCCCUGUCUCCAUUCGAUUCACUGAUGGUACAGUCUGAUGAGUUAACAGAGUUUGAUAAGUCGAUACCAACUGAGAUGUUUCGAUUCCAAAGCUACGACCAGCUAUUGGCACUGGCAGAUACCAAUAGACAGCUACCAGAUAUACUUGGAGUUAACUGCUAUCAGGAGCACCAUCAAUAAUGGAACCCAGGGUUCGUAGCGUGUCAUGCUUACACUACGUAUACAAAGGAACGUCAAUGUGUGUGUUAGCCUGUUUGACGGUUUAGCUUUCGCAUUUACUGAGAAGAUGACAAGAAACGGUCGUGAGCCAAAAGUUAUCUUGAUCACUAGCAUCAAUCCCAAGGUUGUUGGAGGUCGAUUAUUCCUCAAUGGGACUUCUGGGACCCACAUCUACUUUGACUCACAGCUGCAGGCAAAGAACGCUAUACACAGUUGUUUGGAGAUGGCUCAAAUCAAAUAUCAUCUUCGUCGAAGCUGAUUCAUGCUCAGAAGAUAGUACCCCUAACUGUCUCUGAACUUAACCAUCAUGUCCUCUCAGCUGACCCUCAGGUGAUCGAGUUCCUUUGUACUGCCAAAGUAACUGGCAUCCAGUUUGAGGAAGAAUGGUGUUAUAUUGGUUGCGCAAGCUGUUCUAAGAAGCUCGUGAAAGAGGUCUCAGCCUUCACAUGCCUCUCUUGUGAUUAAAAAAAGCGCUGUCGCCUCACUCAGGUACCGUGUGGAGCUAUCUGUGGCAGACAAUACUGGGGAUGCAGUAUUUGUUGCUUUUGAUUUGGAUAUGGCUAAACUAACCAACAUUCCUGCUGCUGAAGUUGCGGAAGUUAUAAUUAAGUUAGGAGAGUUCAACUUCACUUUUAAGCAUCAAACCUUCACUAUCUCCCGUAUAUUUUCAGUGGCUCAGCGUGCACCACUCCCAGACUUUGUGGGCGAUGUGAAUUUCAUAGACUUUCAAACUGAUCUGCUAUCUAUUUAUAAUAUGACUAAGUUAUUUGCUGGGUUUUGAUCAGGGUGCUCAACAUGGUCCGAAUGAUGGGUUGCAGGUCCAGAAUCCAAUCUCAAGUUUGGUGCCGGUUUGUAACAGUAGCACUAUUGUUGAGACCUCUGGUGGC
Molecule: long non-coding RNA, 1667 nt
Organism: Brassica oleracea var. oleracea
Lineage: Eukaryota; Viridiplantae; Streptophyta; Magnoliopsida; Brassicales; Brassicaceae
Exons: 9
Source: RefSeq, a predicted model, not a curated record